RNAcentral lists this ribosomal RNA (253 nucleotides) under uncultured bacterium. Its description in RNAcentral is "partial 16S ribosomal RNA". It matches the Rfam family "Bacterial small subunit ribosomal RNA", at positions 524 to 776 of the family's 1533-position model. The record is from RNAcentral.
UACGGAGGGUGCAAGCGUUAUCCGGAUUCACUGGGUUUAAAGGGAGCGCAGGCGGGCUGGUAAGUCAGUGGUGAAAGCCUUGAGCUUAACUCGAGAACUGCCAUUGAUACUAUCAGUCUUGAAUAUUGUUGAGGUUUGCGGAAUGGGUCAUGUAGCGGUGAAAUGCAUAGAUAUGACCCGGAACACCGAUUGCGAAGGCAGCUCACUAAACUGUAACUGACGCUGAGGCACGAAAGCGUGGGGAGCAAACAGG